Long non-coding RNA from Leopardus geoffroyi (Geoffroy's cat), 975 nucleotides. RefSeq lists it as uncharacterized. The record is from RefSeq and is a predicted model, not a curated record. The transcript is spliced from 2 exons. NCBI's taxonomy places the organism in Eukaryota, Metazoa, Chordata, Mammalia, Carnivora, Felidae.
GUAUAAUAAAUUACCACCCAAGACAGAGUGCAUUCAUAAUGUUGUAAUACCGAUGCUUGUCAAUGAGGGGGGACAGAUGUCACAUAGCAUGAUAUGCAGCUUUCAGUGACAUGUCAAAGACAUGGUGUAAGAUCAUAUUUAUUUGUCAGCAAGGUGAGUUCAUGGUAACCAUACAUGGUUAUCAAGGAGAGGAUACCUCCUAGGCAGCAAUCAAGGAGAUGAUGCAGUGAAAUGGAAUAUCGUGCAUGGUUUUUAAGAAAAUCGUCCCACAGCUACAAGUAAAAAAAAAAAAAGAGAGACGACUAUGAUAACUUCCUGUCUGAAGUGCAAAAACAGCAAGUAGUAGUCCUGAUGACAUGCGUAUGGCUGGCUAAAUAACUGGGCCAAGAUCAUGUGUAUCAUUUUCACAUGUUCUGUUAAUUCUACCUGGAUUCAUGACAAAAGACCACAGCCAACCAACUAACAAGGCACACUUUGGACGAGAAGAUCAGAGACAGACAUUUAGGAUGGGUAGUACAAAUCUGCCACGAUAGUAGGAAAAAUCUCAAAGUGCCUGUUUCGCUGACUGGAGAGGAAGUGUCCUCUUUUCAUAAGAAGGUCAUCAAAUGAUAAGGAGCUUGAUCUGAAACUGUAACGCCAGCACAUGAAAAGUACACUAAGGUUAUAAUACAUUGGAUGUGUAAUCAAAUAAUAAUUCCAGAGCAUAAGCUCUUAGCAAAAGAAAGUUAAAGGCAGGGAGAUGUUGUGCUGAGCCUCAAUGAGACUGCCUCUAAUCAAAGUUCAACAAAUGAACAGAGAGAAUAAAGAAAAAUAACAUGCCUUUUAUUUUUUUUUAAAGAUCUUGUAAUAAUUAACAUUGUUUGAUCUGAUUCAAUUAACAUUGUUUUACUACAUAGUUUCUUUAAACUCGGGAGAUCAGAAACAACAUUUAAAAAUGCCAACUAUCCUCUCUGUCUCAAAAAUAAAUAAAACAUU